Molecule: long non-coding RNA, 419 nt
Filed under: Mytilus galloprovincialis (Mediterranean mussel)
Lineage: Eukaryota; Metazoa; Mollusca; Bivalvia; Mytilida; Mytilidae
Source: RNAcentral
GUUUACGGAGGACCUAAAUGCCACAAUAUGCAUAAAAAUGAGGAAAUAUGAUAAAAAAGAUGUGCAGUGGUAUGAUUGCCAAUGAGACAAAUAUCCAGAAAGACCACAAUGACACAGACAUUAACAACUAUAGCUCGACGUACAGCCUUCAACAAUGAGCAAAGCCCAUACCGCAUAGUCAGCUAUUAAAGGCCCCGAUAAGACAUUGUAAAAAAAUUCAAACGAAAAAACUAACGGCCUUAUUUAUGCAAAAUAAUGAACGAAAAACAAAUAUGUAACACAUAAACAAACGACAACCAAUAAAUUACAGACUCCUGACUUGGAACAGGCACGUACAUAAAUAAUGUAACGGGGUUAAACAUGUUAUCCAAUUUUGAAUAAUGAAAUGGAUAUUUUGAAUAAUGGAAUGGACUGCUGUG